UUUUAUUUUGGCUGUCCAGAAAUGAGGCAUUUUACUGAAAAUAAUAUACUUUUUCAAAAUAAAAAAAGGAUUUUAUAAAAAUAAAAUGACAUAGUAGACCUUAUUAAUGUCAUAUAAAAUGUAUACCUUAUAAAUCUUGGUUUAAAAUGUUAUGAAUGUGUUAUGUAGACACCUUUCCAGUAAAGUCUUACCAAAUUUUCCAUAUUUACUUCCAAAGAGUGUCAAACCGAAACAAAAGGCCACAGAGACAUGCCAACUGUCUGGACAUACGACUGUGAUGCUCCAUGUGCACUCUACUGACCUAUCCAUGCUCCGCCCACAACUGUGUCUUGCAUAGCUGUUGCGAGGUUGGACAAACUUGAAAGAACGUUGGCAAAAUUCCCACUCGGUCAAAAUGAGAAAUUGAGCAGACUCUGUUUAAUCACUACAUAAUGCAGAGCUUGAUUUAAAAUGAUACCCAACUGGACGGUGCUGCUGUUGCUAAUUGUUGGUAAAGGAGGCGUGUUGAGAGGGAUAUUGAAGUAAACAAGAAGGAAAGUACAUCUGAUCUAUUCUGAAACAACGAACCUGCCACAAGGGAACCAACAAAGAGAGGAUAUAACGUACAUACAGUACUAAGACCUAGUAAUGACAC
This is a long non-coding RNA of Colossoma macropomum (tambaqui), 634 nucleotides long. RefSeq lists it as uncharacterized. The transcript is spliced from 2 exons. The record is from RefSeq and is a predicted model, not a curated record. Lineage: Eukaryota; Metazoa; Chordata; Actinopteri; Characiformes; Serrasalmidae.